RNAcentral lists this ribosomal RNA (497 nucleotides) under uncultured bacterium. RNAcentral describes it as "partial 16S ribosomal RNA". It matches the Rfam family "Bacterial small subunit ribosomal RNA", at positions 28 to 507 of the family's 1533-position model. The record is from RNAcentral.
GAUGAACGCUGGCGGCGUGCCUAAUACAUGCAAGUCGAGCGAACAGACGAGGAGCUUGCUCCUCUGACGUUAGCGGCGGACGGGUGAGUAACACGUGGAUAACCUACCUAUAAGACUGGGAUAACUUCGGGAAACCGGAGCUAAUACCGGAUAAUAUAUUGAACCGCAUGGUUCAAUAGUGAAAGACGGUUUUGCUGUCACUUAUAGAUGGAUCCGCGCCGCAUUAGCUAGUUGGUAAGGUAACGGCUUACCAAGGCAACGAUGCGUAGCCGACCUGAGAGGGUGAACGGCCACACUGGAACUGAGACACGGUCCAGACUCCUACGGAAGGCAGCAGUAGGGAAUCUUCCGCAAUGGGCGAAAGCCUGACGGAGCAACGCCACGUGAGUGAUGAAGGUCUUCGGAUCGUAAAACUCUGUUAUUAGGGAAGAACAAAUGUGUAAGUAACUAUGCACGUCUUGACGGUACCUAAUCAGAAAGCCACGGCUAACUACGUG